RNAcentral lists this ribosomal RNA (477 nucleotides) under uncultured Actinomycetes bacterium. RNAcentral describes it as "bacterial SSU rRNA". It matches the Rfam family "Bacterial small subunit ribosomal RNA", at positions 28 to 504 of the family's 1533-position model. Lineage: Bacteria; Bacillati; Actinomycetota; Actinomycetes. The record is from RNAcentral.
GACGAACGCUGGCGGCGUGCUUAACACAUGCAAGUCGAGCGAGGACCGCACUCCUUUGGGGUGUGGAGUCGAGCGGCGAACGGGUGAGUAACACGUGAGUAACCUGCCCCUGGCUUCGGGAUAGCCCCGGGAAACCGGGAUUAAUACCGGAUAUGACUGGGAAGGGCAUCCUUUCUGGUGGAAAGGUUCCCUCGUUUGGGGGUUCUGGCUGGGGAUGGGCUCGCGGCCUAUCAGCUUGUUGGUGGGGUGAUGGCCUACCAAGGCGACGACGGGUAGCCGGCCUGAGAGGGCGACCGGCCACACUGGGACUGAGACACGGCCCAGACUCCUACGGGAGGCAGCAGUGGGGAAUCUUGCGCAAUGGGCGGAAGCCUGACGCAGCGACGCCGCGUGGGGGAUGAAGGCCUUCGGGUUGUAAACCUCUUUCAGCAGGGACGAAGGUGACGUGUACCUGCAGAAGAAGCGCCGGCUAACUAC